AAGUCGUAACAAGGUUUCCGUAGGUGAACCUGCGGAAGGAUCAUUAACACGUAUCCAACGUUAAACCCCCCGUGAACUUUUAUUGCGAACCACGCCUUUGUUAAAAAGUAGCAAUCCCUGGUAAAUCAUCGCCGAACAGUUUUGAUUCAGGGAUCUCUGCGAAGAGAGCGGUUGUUCCUCUGCUUGUUAGUGUCUGACAGUGUCACUAGCUCUGUACGAAUGGCGCAGUCACGAUCGCUGGAGGCCGACACGGCCGGCGACCGGGUCACCGGGCAUAGACCCCCCUAUCACCUUUGCAUGAAAACGGGCCUGCGCUUAAUUGUGCGGCCACCAAACUCGAACAACUGUUAACAAUGGAUAUCUUGGUUCUC
RNAcentral lists this unclassified non-coding RNA (371 nucleotides) under fungal sp. RNAcentral describes it as "partial internal transcribed spacer region". The stretch from base 1 to 46 matches the Rfam family "Eukaryotic small subunit ribosomal RNA", at positions 1786 to 1831 of the family's 1831-position model. Lineage: Eukaryota; Fungi. The record is from RNAcentral.